This is a long non-coding RNA of Hippocampus comes (tiger tail seahorse), 735 nucleotides long. RefSeq lists it as uncharacterized. NCBI's taxonomy places the organism in Eukaryota, Metazoa, Chordata, Actinopteri, Syngnathiformes, Syngnathidae. The record is from RefSeq and is a predicted model, not a curated record. The transcript is spliced from 2 exons.
UGUGAUUAAAAUACUUCCGCUCACUAAAACGGCAGACACCUUGUCAAACUUUAGCCAGUGUUGGCAUCCCGAAAGAAAACAAACACAGGGAAGCUAAGCUCAACUGCAAGUGAGACCACCAAAUCGGGUUUUGUCUGUUGGAGAUGAAUCUUUCCACCCUUAAAUGGAAAAAAUUAAGACUUGAGAUUUGAUCCUGGAGUACUUUGAAAGCUGAAAAAGAAAGAGCAAGUGCCAAGCUAGUCAUGGCUUUUAAAAACGAUUUUUAUGGUCUUGGUCUUCUCUCAGUCUGUACUUCCACAGGUGUCGGUCUGGCUGACUUCUGGUCUCGGAUCACGCGGCCUUGAGCGCCACACUAACGUGCCGUGCUCUCGUGUAAUGCUCCUUUGUUUCUAAGGCACAUUUCAAACGAGACCAUUUGUCCUGGAACAGAAACGUCAACAGGACGCUAAGAGGGGAGCAUAAGAGGAGAGCGAGGCUGUCGAUGAUUAACUUUGGGUGGCUCAGCUGCUGCCUGCGCCCGUUACAGCCCAAAUCCAUUAGAGUGUUGAUUUAAUGAAUUGCUAAUUUGCCUCAAUGAGGUUGCCUAGCAACCGGAGUCGGCGCGCCGCGACCAACAUCCACCUGCAGUCAUGAUUUAACCGCAGACAAAGUCGGUUUACUCACUGGUUCAUUGCAAAAAAUAAAUAAAUGGUUUCAAGGGAGGGUUUCGAAGAUGGGGUUAGGGUAUCAAAGAGC